Molecule: RNA transcript, 3341 nt
Organism: Equus caballus (horse)
Lineage: Eukaryota; Metazoa; Chordata; Mammalia; Perissodactyla; Equidae
Gene: TYW3
Gene name: tRNA-yW synthesizing protein 3 homolog
Source: RefSeq, a predicted model, not a curated record
ACGACGGGAGACUCUCCCGAGUUCGGAACGACGAGUAAGUUUGGACCUUUUCGGCCACCACUCCCUUCAAUAUGGCUGCCCCCAGGGAAAGGCGAGAGAGAACGUGAAAGCACAGACUCUAUAUCCCUCAUCGCAUGGAUCGUAGCGCAGAGUUCAGGAGAUGGAAGGCGCAGUGUCUGAGCAAAGCGGACCUCAGCCGGAAGGGCAGUGUGGACGAGGAUGUGGUAGAGCUUGUGCAGCUCCUGAAUGGGCGAGAAGAGUUUUUCACUACCAGUUCCUGUGCUGGCCGCAUCAUCCUCCUGGACGGGGGUAUAGAUGGUUUUGAGGUUCAGAAACAAAACUGUUGCUGGCUACUGGUUACACACAAACCUUGUGUAAAAGAUGAUGUGAUUGUAGCUCUGAAGAAGGCGAACAGUGAUGCCAUUUUGAAGUUUGAGCCAUUUAUUCUUCAUGUGCAGUGUCGACAGCUGCAGGAUGCACAGAUUCUGCAUUCAGUGGCAAUAGAUUCUGGCUUCAGGAACUCGGGCAUAACAGUAGGAAAGAGAGGAAAGACCAUGUUGGCUGUCCGGAGCACACAUGGCUUAGAAGUUCCAUUAAGCCAUAAGGGACAACUGAUGGUGACAGAGGAAUAUAUAGACUUCCUAUUAAAGAUAGCAAAUCAAAAAAUGGAGGAAAACAAGAAGAGAAUUGAAAGCCUUAUUACCAAUAAUAAAAAGAUGAUCAAAGUAACAGAUGAGAGUAGCCGGACCGUGAUGGGCACUAAAUGGAGCAUAAUGGGGAAGCUCCAUGGAGGAUAGUGGGACACAUGACUCCCGGCAACAGGCAUUAAGGACAGAAAUGUAAUCAUUCAGAAGUGAAAGAAAUAUCAGCUUUUUAUUGCAAGUGGUCCUCUAACUGACUUGAAAACCAAGAACUGAUUUUCCUACGGCCGGCCUGGAAAGUUCUCUCAUGAAGAGAACUAAGUACAGCUUGCCCCAUGGCAUGAUACCCUCCACUGCCGAAGAAAAACUGAAGACAAUUUGAUCUUCUUUUGAGAGGAGAAAAACCAGUUGCCUGAGCAUUACUUUCUUUUUGUCCUCUGAGCUCUUUUUGUGGCCUGUGAGAGCUGAGAAAAUUACUCUUUGAGAAUUGGGCUUUAGAAUGGUGUGUCGAGGGUCAUAGUAUGAGGGGAGAAUGUGUAAUUGGAAAACAAAUUUCUGACUUAUUGAGUCAGAUAAUUUCCCAAAGGCCUUUUUAAAGGUUCCCUUACAAAAGGAAAAGGGAAAAGUAUUUGAAGUUUUUAUUCUUGGCUUUCAGCAUGAGAAGUCUUUGUUCCAUUUUACCAGUUGUUUUUUGGCCCCAAAGGAUGUAGCUUUGAAUUCUUAGGUUCUUUAAUGGAAGACUGAAGUAAGACACCUGUUCCUCUUUAAUUAGCUUUUUUUUUAUUGAUUGAUAAGAUAUUUUACACAAGCUGUUAAUUCUCUGUGAUGAUAAAAGAGCAGUUUAAUCCUCCCUUUAAUUUCCUAGGAAUAAAGUAUAAGCCAGAAAAAGUCCUUGGUUCCCUGAGUCUGAAGUGCAGGGUGGCAUGCUUGGAUUAGUCUGGCAAAGUGGCAGUGAGCCUGCUGAAUUCUGACCUCAGCCCGCAGCUCUGGUAGGCGGGAUAUGGAAAGAAGAAGUGGUCUCCCCGUGAGAGGAAAGGGCACAUGGCACCUUUGUAGGGAGGCCAGGUUUCAGUUAAGAAAGGACCUAAAGGGUGCAUUAAAUGAAAAGAUUGUUACCAUGGAACAGAGUCUAAACAGUUGUAUCUCAGUUAAUAUUUUUCAAAGCUUUUGCUAUACCUCUUACUAUACAGUUUUUCCUUUUACUGUAUCUCUCUCUUUGAGAUUGAUUUAAUCAUUGAAGAAACAUUUAUUGGGCACCUGUUAGAUGCCAACAUGGUGCUGGAUAUCAGGGUGUACUGUGGUAAAUAUGUACAUUCUUGAAAUCUAGACAGGGUACGUAGUAAUCAUGUUAGGUGUAUAUUAGAGUUCUGUGGAAUAUUUGGGAAUAGGUGGAUUUGGGAGUUCUUUAGGGCAGUUGUAGAGCCUAUGCAGGUAGAACUUAGCCUGUUCGUUAAAUUAAAGAAAGGAGAAAAUUGGUCCAAAUAGCAAUCUUUUUUGUAGAUGUCAAAAAUUUCCUGUCAUAGUCUUUCAUUAUAGUAGCAUGAUGAGAUCCCUACAAUGUGAAAGGGAAUUCUCAACUUCCAGAUCAUUCUAAUUUUGGAACUAGGAUAAUAUAUCCAUAUUUACCUUUUUUGUUCAGUAGUUAUUUAUUCACUUAUUUAGCGUAUUUUUACCAAGUGUGUCAGCAGUGUAGUACAUACUAAGAAUAUAACAGAAAGCAACAUAGAUGGAGUCCUUGAUCUCGUGGAGUUUACAUUCUAUAAAAAUAGUCAUUAUAGAGAACUUACUCUGUGCCAGGCACUGUGCUAGGUCCAUAUAUUACCUGUAACCCGCUGACAACCCCACUAGGUACAGGAUAAUAGCCAGUUUUGUAGAUGAGGAAAUCAAGACUCAGUAAGGUUGGAAUUAGCUAACCUCAGCUUUCUCAGUGGAAGGCUGGUGUGAAGCGCAUGCAGCCCUUACUGCCUUCCAACACGCGCCGAAGGCUCCCCUGUGAGGCGGGGCUCGUGCCAGGUAUCACUGUGGGAGUGGAAGAGAAAUGAAGCCCGAUUUUCAGGGGACUGACAGUUUAUUUUGUCACGGAAUUAACACUAAAACUGCAAUCAAAAAUUAAGUAAAGGAAAAGAAAAAUUUACAUUUAAAAAAUUCAAAUAGCUAAUAAAUAAAUGAAAAACACUCAGUUUCACUUGCAAACAAGAAAUGAAAAUUAAAAUAAUGAGAUACUAUUGUAACCUAUUAAAGUGUAUUUUUUGAUGGAAAUAUUUAAUGUAUGGGUGAAGUGCUCUCUCGAGUACUGCUGUCAGAGGCAUGUGUUUUGAACAUCCAUUCUGGAAAACAGUCUUUAUCAAGAGCCUUAAAACGUGUAUACCUUUUCACUAUGCCAUUACAUUUCCAGGUGUCUACUGUAAAGAAAUAGCUAGAAAGUCAGAUCACAUUUUCAAAAAUGUUUGUCACGUUGUUUGUAUUAGGGAAAAUUUGAAAAUAAAUUAAGGCCAAUCUAGAUGACAUAAUGUUAUACAGCCAUUAAAACAUGUUAUUUUGUAUUUAAUUUGAUGAUAUGGAAACUGUUUCCAAGAAAUAUUAAAUUUGAAAAAACAAUGUUAACCUUUCUAUGUGAUACCACAAUUGUGUAAAAGAUAGGUAUCUGUAUGCAUAUAUAAAUAAAUUCAGAAUACAUUAAUAAACUGGAAAGAAAGAAAA